This is a long non-coding RNA of Acinonyx jubatus (cheetah), 2990 nucleotides long. RefSeq lists it as uncharacterized. The transcript has 3 exons. The record is from RefSeq and is a predicted model, not a curated record. Lineage: Eukaryota; Metazoa; Chordata; Mammalia; Carnivora; Felidae.
GGUUCAGUCAGUUAAGUGUCUGACUUUGGCUCAGGUCAUGAUCUCACUGUUCAUGAGUUCAACCCCCACGUCGGGCUCUGUGCUGACAGCUCAGAGCCUAGAAUCUGUUUCAGAUUCUCUGCUUCAGAUUCUGUGUCUCCCUUUGUCUCUGCCCUUUCCCUGCUCAUGCUCUGUCUCUCUCAAAAAUAAAUAAAUAUUAAAAUUUAAAAAAACAUAUUUCUUAAGGGGCCAUUUUUAAUAGAUUUCCUAGUUUGGGUAUAUUAUCUUCAAUAUUUUAAAGGCUUGCAUGUUUAAGACUAAAGAACAGCUAUAUAGGGGAGCCUGGAUGGUUCAGUUGGUUUAGCAUCCAACUCUUGAUUUCAGCUUAGGUCAUGAUCUCAUAAUUCCUGAGAUCAAGCCCCAUGUCAGACUCUGCACCUAAAGCACAGAGCCUGUUUGGGAUUCUCUCUCUCCCUCCUUCUCUCUCUUUCUUUCAAAAUAAAUAAACACUAAAAAAAGAACAACUAUACAUAAAAUGUCCAUACUACCCAAAGCAAUCUAUAGAUACAAUGCAAUCCCUAUCAAAAUACCAACAGCAUUUUUUACAGAACAAAUAAUACUAAAAUUUGUAUGGAACCACAAAAGACACUGAAUAACCAAAACAAAUUUUGAGAAAGAGGAGCAAAGCUGGAGAUAUCACAAUCCCAGGUUUGAAGAUAUACUACAAUAAUAACCAAAACAGUAUGGUAUUGGCACUGGCACAACACAUAGAUCCAUGGAACAGAAUAAGAGCCCAGAAAUAAAUCCAUGCUUAUAUGGUCAAUUAGUCUAUGACAAAAGAGGCAAGAAUAUACAUUGAGGAAAAGACAGUCUUUUCAAUAAAUGUUGCUGGAAACGCUGGGCAGCUACAUGCAAAAGAAUGAAACUGGACCUGUUUCUCACACCACACAUUAAAAUAAACUCAAAAUGGAUUAAAGACUUAAAUGUAUGACCUGAAACUAUAAAACUCCUAGAAGAAAACAUAGGUAGUAAUCUGUUCUGCUUUUAUUUCUAGAUAAGUCUCCUCAGGCCAAGGAAACAAAAGCAAAAAUAAACUACUGGGACUACACCAAAAUAAAAAGCUUUUGCACAGUGAAGGAAACCAUCAACAAAAUUAAAAAGCAAGCCUCCACACUUCAGUUAGGCCAAAUCUGCCUGAUCUUUUCUUUCAAGCCAAGGGUGACUACCCUGCAAUGGCAUGUGGCAAGUGGAAGGACCAAGGAAUUGACAUUCUCCAGGAGCAGUCUUCCCAAGUGACUGGUAGAGGUGGUAGGUGAAUUCUUGAGCUCAGAGCAGCGAACAUCAAAAUAGAGAUUAUGGGAGACUUGAUGUGAAUGGGAAAGGAUGAGAUUUAUGGGGGAAUUCACAAGAGGAGUGUCCAUUUAUUAUAAUUACAGACAUCUUAUUGAACACUAAGUGCCAGACACUGGGCUAAACCCUGCUAGCAUUAGAGAUGGGUGCUGUCCUGGAGAGAGUCACACUGUUCCAGGAAAGACACUCCUGGCAAUUCAUCAAGAAAUUCCAAGAUGAUUCAUGACUUAAGAAAGCUGAGAGCAAUAUGCAAUGGGAGUACUGAUGAGAGAGAAGCUUGGAAGGCUGAUGAAGGUGUACUCCAAAUUCACAAAGGAAGUAUAUCUGUGGUAAAGGAUGAAUAUGACUUUGGUGGACCCAAGUUGAGAAGAGCCUUCUAGACAGAGAAAACAACCUGCAUAACAUUUGAAGUUACAUGGAGUGUUUGGGUGGACAGCUGGAGAAAAGCUCAUUGUGGGGUGGAGAAGAGGCAGGAGAUAAGGCUGAGAGGACAUGAAACAUCUGAUUAUAAACAGUCUUGUCUCCUUCAACUGUAGAACAGAUGAUAGGAGGAGGAAGGUCUUGAUGCAUCAGAAAAUGCAAGUGCAAUGCCUUGUCCAUCACUUCCUUUUCUGCAUGUCUCUGGUGCAAGGAGAAAAGGGAGAGGAGAAGAGACUCAGGAGAGAGGCUGUGUAUCUUCAGGUACAUCCAUCAUUGAUGAUCACAUGCCAGACACCAUACUAGUUCUUUCCAAACCUUAUCCCGUUUCAUCCUCACGGUAAGCCAGUGAGGGAGGACUGUUCAACUGUUUUGCUGGUGAAGACAUUGAGGCUUAGAAGAGGUGUAGAAAAUUGUAAGAUUUGGAAUCAUGACUACCUGCUUAAAAAGCCCUUAACCACUACAUUAUACUACUUCUCUUUUGGAAGAAGCAAAUGUGGAGUGGACAGCAGCUGCUGUGGUCGCCUUUCCUGGAUUGGGUGACAGCUAAGUGCACUGAGUUCUGCUUAUGGAGCCACAAAAAUCAGAAGAAACCAGAAGGAGCAGCCAUCAUGUUGGAAGUCAUUUGUUUUGGUAUUUACUUUGGUGAAGUCUCCAGAAGAUAUUUUGGAUUUGGAGUACUUGCUUUUUCAUCAGAUUCCUCCUUAGCAACUGCUAAAAGCAUUCAACAGAGGACAAGAGAAUAAAAAAAUUACUUAAUUCACACAGUGGCAAUGCCAGCGCUCAAGUGACUAUUGGCCUUUGGUGAACCAUUUUCUUUCAGAGCCCUCGUAUAGCACUAUCAUAAUUCUGUAACACCUCAACGCUGACCUUUUCGUUUGUAAAAGGCUUAAGUAAACAAAAUUAUAGCUUUUCUGCUACACUUCCAGCAUUUUUGAGCUACUUAGUGUUUUUGAACUUUAACAUUUGUCUGAAGAACCCAGUUACUUGAAUGAAAAAGUUUGUCAUUGACCUGUCAUUUAACACUUGAGAAAGUGGGGUCUAAUUAGUGUGGCUUUUAAAUCUUUUUCUACAAACGGAAUUCUGAAAUGUAGAUAGAUAAGAAAUAUAAAGUGGAUCAGAUGUUUUCAUAAAUAAAUAAUGAAAACCAGACAUUUGAAUGGUUUAGAAAAUUUUAAUCACUGUACAUUCUCAUGCUACCCUGAAGAGGGAAGAAGUACAGAGACAAUCUAGAAAAUGUCAAA